RNAcentral lists this long non-coding RNA (278 nucleotides) under Ficedula albicollis (Collared flycatcher). RNAcentral describes it as "lncRNA (ENSFALG00000020577.2)". Lineage: Eukaryota; Metazoa; Chordata; Aves; Passeriformes; Muscicapidae. The record is from RNAcentral.
UGCACUACUUAAACAAACCAAACAACCGGUACUUAAAAAGACAACAGGCUCCUUGUGGAUGGGAUCGAAUGACUGCCCUGUUCCCUUCACCUGUGAAAUUUCUGAGAUGACUUGAAAAGGGCCAUUGUUUCCCAGGAAUUCCAGGCCUAGUCCAGGAAAGCAAGUCUUCAUUUCAGCAGGAAUUUGGAGUCUGCUCGAGAAGGCCUUGCAAGAAGUGUGUUUAUGGAUUUCCAGAGUGUGAUACAAACACAAUUUUCCUGUGAGGCUCUUCCCCCUGA